CGGGUCCAGAGGAGACCACAGAGAUGAUCAAAGGGCUGGAGCACCUCCCCUGUGAAGAAAGGCUGAGGGAAUAGGUCUUGUUCAGCCUGGGGAAGAGAAGGGAGACCUCACUGCUGCCCUCCAGUACUUGGGGAGACCUUAUAAGCAGGAGAACUGUGUUUUUACAUAGUCUAAUAGUGAUAGGACAAGAGGGAACAGAUUGCUCAAAGAAGCUGUGAGUGCCCCAACUCUGGAAACGCCCUGGGCCGUGGAUGGGCCCCUGGGCAGCCUGAGCUGGUGGAGGACAGCCAGCCCACAACAGGGCUCUCCUCCUCUAGGAGAGAAAAGAAAAUGGAGGCAGUUGUCAGUUUUGAAGGCACAGCUGCACUGUUGGUGGGUCACAGCCUCUGCCUCUGUGUGAGGCUGCAUUUCAGUUCCGCCAGCACAGACCUCAGGAGUGCUUAAAGCAGGCCACUGCACUGUCGAAGAGUUUGCUCCAAGAACCAACGUCGUGCAACGGUUCUGCCACGGUCACUCAAAGUCCAUCGUGGAAAUGUGAGAGCGCAGCAGAACACGCU
Molecule: long non-coding RNA, 557 nt
Filed under: Numida meleagris (helmeted guineafowl)
Lineage: Eukaryota; Metazoa; Chordata; Aves; Galliformes; Numididae
Description: lncRNA (ENSNMEG00000015154.1)
Source: RNAcentral